AACGGCCGCGGUAUCCUAACCGUGCAAAGGUAGCAUAAUCACUUGCCUAUUAAUUGUAGGCUAGUAUGAAAGGGUUAACGAAAUAAAAACUGUCUCAAUUAAUCACCUAAAAACUAUUCUCUACUUGAAGAAAAGUAGAUUCCCUUGAAGGACAAGAAGACCCUAUAGAGCUUAAUUUUACUUAUAGGCCAAAACUAUAAAAAUAUUCGGUUGGGGCGACCCAGGGCUAAUUAAUCACCCACAGAAAAAAAGAUAUGUAAAUCAAAUAAAUGACCCUCAUAGAUCACAAGACCAAGCUACCUUAGGGAUAACAGGCUAAUCCCACUUAAGAGUCCUUAUCAACAGUGAGGUUUGGCACCUCGAUGUUGGCUUAGG
This 375-nucleotide ribosomal RNA is filed under the name Metaphire hilgendorfi. Its description in RNAcentral is "partial 16S ribosomal RNA". It matches the Rfam family "Bacterial large subunit ribosomal RNA", at positions 1926 to 2541 of the family's 2925-position model. The record is from RNAcentral. Lineage: Eukaryota; Metazoa; Annelida; Clitellata; Crassiclitellata; Megascolecidae.